GCAAACUUGGUCAUUUAGAGGAAGUAAAAGUCGUAACAAGGUUUCCGUAGGUGAACCUGCGGAAGGAUCAUUAAUGAAUAAACUUGGUCAAGCUGUUGCUGGCUCUUCGGAGCAUGUGCACGCUUGCCACCAAUUUUAACCACCUGUGCACCUUUUGUAGACUGAAAAUGUUUCUCGAGGCAACUCGGAUUGAGAACUGCUGCGCGCAAGCCAGCUGUUCUUGUGUUUCUCAGUCUAUGUUUUCACAUACCCCUUAUGUAUGUAUCUGAAUGUAUUGCUAGGCCUUAGCGCCUUUAAAAACAAAUACAACUUUCAACAACGGAUCUCUUGGCUCUCGCAUCGAUGAAGAACGCAGC
This 356-nucleotide unclassified non-coding RNA is filed under the name uncultured fungus. RNAcentral's name for it is "partial contains small subunit ribosomal RNA, internal transcribed spacer 1, and 5.8S ribosomal RNA". The stretch from base 1 to 73 matches the Rfam family "Eukaryotic small subunit ribosomal RNA", at positions 1759 to 1831 of the family's 1831-position model. Lineage: Eukaryota; Fungi. The record is from RNAcentral.